UCCUAAUGAUGAUACCUUUUGUCCAGUUCUGCUACUGAAGUUAAGCGAUGACCCUCUACAACCUGAAGGA
RNAcentral lists this small nucleolar RNA (70 nucleotides) under Leptobrachium leishanense (Leishan spiny toad). The record is from RNAcentral. Lineage: Eukaryota; Metazoa; Chordata; Amphibia; Anura; Megophryidae.